This 254-nucleotide ribosomal RNA is filed under the name uncultured bacterium. RNAcentral's name for it is "partial 16S ribosomal RNA". It matches the Rfam family "Bacterial small subunit ribosomal RNA", at positions 524 to 776 of the family's 1533-position model. The record is from RNAcentral.
UACGUGGGACCCAAGCGUUAUCCGGAAUUACUGGGCGUAAAGAGUUGCGUAGGUGGCAGGUAAAGUUGAUAGUGAAAGCGUGUGGCUCAACCAUACAAACAUUAUCAAAACUCACCAGCUAGAGUAUGGGAGAGGUAGAUGGAAUUUCUAGUGUAGGAGUGAAAUCCGUAGAUAUUAGAAGGAACACCGAUGGCGUAGGCAGUCUACUGGCCCAUUACUGACACUAAGGCGCGAAAGCGUGGGGAGCGAACGGG